GAUAAAUCAUUCUGGCAAUGUGGAAGGGGUGGGAAUUGUGGCCAGAAGUUCCAGCAGGAAGGGAAGGGGCUCUAGGGAGUAUCCAGGCAGAAUACCCUGGGCCUCAGUUCCCCCAUUCACAAAGAGGAAAUGCCAUAUCUCACUUGCUGUUAGAGGAAUCAAGGAAUAAAAAAGAGAUGAUUGAAUUGCAUUUGCACUAAAACUGAGGGCAGGGGUGCCUGGUAGGCUCAGUCAGUGGAGUGUGCAACUCUUGAUCUCGGGGUUGUAAGUUUGAGCCCCUCAUUGGGCAUACAGUUUACUUAGAAAAAAAAAUGGCCAAGUAUUCCUGAAAAGAUUAAACAGAAAACAGAGUCACUUAACAAUUAUAUUCCUAGGACUAUGGCCAAGAAAAAUGAAAACAUAUGGCCACACACAAACCUGUACACAAAUGUCCAUAGCAUUUGUUCAUAUUCAUAGCACAAAUGCUCACAUUCACUAUGUGAGCCAAAAAAGUGGAAACAACCCACCAACAAAUAAAUAGAUAAACCGUGGCUGAUCCGGGCUAUGACGUGGAUGAAACCUUGAAAACACCGUGCUUGAGUGAAAGAAGCCAGUCACAUGAGACCACAUGUUGUAUGAUUCCAUUUGUAUGACACAUUCAGAACAGGAAGAUCCACAGAGAUGGGCAGAUUAGUGGUUGCCUAGGGCUGAGGGAGUUCAGGGGAGACACGGGGAGGUGACUGCUAAUGGGCACAACUUUCUUUUUAGGGUGAUGAAAACAAUCUAAGAUCGACUGUCAUGAUGGCUGCACAGCAUUGGCGAAUAUACUAAAAGCCAUUGAAUUUGUACAGUUAAAUGGGUGGAUGUGGAUUAGAUCUUAAAGCAGUUACCAAAACAAACAACCAGGGAGAGAGUAUAUCCAAAGAAUCAGACACAGGAUGAGACAGACACGACUGUUAGAGGUAGGGUGAUGGUACCCGUGCUGUUUGCUGUAGAAUCCUCACGGGGCGCCUCUGAGACCAGGAGCCCCGUGACUGUUCCCGGAGGUUGUCGGUAGCUGUCACUUGUGGUCUUGCAGUGUAACUGACGAAUUCACCUGUUCCCAGGAGCGUUUGCUUUCUGCUGACACCUGUCCUUCUCACAGAUGCACACACGAGGCUCCUUCCACAGCACCUGCCUCCUCCUCCAGCCUCCAAGCCUCAUACAUGUGCUGCAAAGCUGGCUGCUUCUUUAUUUUUAGUCCGGAUUAUACUCUAACUGGGUCAGCUGGAGUGCCGUGGGCCCGGCACAGCCUCAGCGGUCCUUCUGCUGGCGCCUGCCCCCAGAUCAUCCUACUGCCCCCGGAAGAACACUUGUCUGCUUUCCACGGGGCUGGACCCCAGAUUCCCAGGUUUUACAGAAAACAGCCCCAAGGUGGGAGAAGUGGGAGCUCCUUCCUCUAAUCUGCAGCAGUGCCAUCUGCUGGCCAAACGGUGGUACAGGGGACACGGUGGCUUCCCUGCUGGCCUUCCCUUCCCGGACUUGGAGCCUGCGUCACAGAGUGCCAGGGAUAAUGCUCAUCCCUCUUAGUUGUCUUAGGCCAGAGUUUAAACCAGACCUCGUCCUUCCAUUGAAUCCCAUGAGAAAAGUGCCCGUGUCUUCCAUGUUGAGCUUGAUGUGCGGUUUCACGAGCCUCACUGUUGGUACAGAAGACACCAGGUAAAGACACCUGGCAACCUCCUCUGUGCCCCCUUCCACUCACCGUCGCCCGCAAGGAAGUCACUAGCCCAGCUCCUAAGAACAGAUUCAUUUGCCUGCCUUUGUAUCUUCAUUAUAAAUUGGAGCCACUUGGAGCACGCAGUGUGCAGUUGUGAUACAGCAAACACUCCAGGUGACAAAGGGCAUCUUCAGUACAGUUCUCUUCAACGGAGCAAAGCCCAGCCCAUCAGAAUGGACCACUCCAUUGGAGCUAUCGUCCAUUUAAUGAACAUUUACUUACCCCCUCCUGUGUGCUGGUGCUAGAGAGAUGGUAAAAAGCAGAAAGAUCUCUGUCCUGAAGGAGCUCCAGAGAUAUCCUCUCUUCAGGUAGCAGCUCAGAUGUCACCUCUGCAGAUGGUCCUCCAUGAGCACCUGCCCGCAUCACCCCAUUGUCUGUUUCAUCUUCUUUGUGGCAUGCACAUCACCGAAGG
Canis lupus familiaris (dog) is the source of this 2147-nucleotide long non-coding RNA. RefSeq lists it as uncharacterized. NCBI's taxonomy places the organism in Eukaryota, Metazoa, Chordata, Mammalia, Carnivora, Canidae. The transcript has 2 exons. The record is from RefSeq and is a predicted model, not a curated record.